Molecule: ribosomal RNA, 554 nt
Filed under: uncultured bacterium
Lineage: Bacteria
Description: partial 16S ribosomal RNA
Rfam family: Bacterial small subunit ribosomal RNA
Source: RNAcentral
UGGGGAAUUUUGGACAAUGGGCGAAAGCCUGAUCCAGCAAUGCCGCGUGUGUGAAGAAGGCCUUCGGGUUGUAAAGCACUUUUGUCCGGAAAGAAAUCCUUGGCUCUAAUACAGUCGGGGGAUGACGGUACCGGAAGAAUAAGCACCGGCUAACUACGUGCCAGCAGCCGCGGUAAUACGUAGGGUGCAAGCGUUAAUCGGAAUUACUGGGCGUAAAGCGUGCGCAGGCGGUUUGCUAAGACCGAUGUGAAAUCCCCGGGCUAACCUGGGAACUGCAUUGGUGACUGGCAGGCUAGAGUAUGGCAGAGGGGGGUAGAAUUCCACGUGUAGCAGUGAAAAUGCGUAGAGAUGUGGAGGAAUACCGAUGGCGAAAGGCAGCCCCCUGGGCCAAUACUGACGCUCAUGCACGAAAGCGUGGGGAGCAAAACAGGAUUAGAUACCCUGGUAGUCCACGCCCUAAACGAUGUCAACUAGUUGUUGGGGAUUCAUUUCCUUAGUAACGUAGCUAACGCGUGAAGUUGACCGCCUGGGGAGUACGGUCGCAAGAUUAAAAA